Molecule: RNase P RNA, 356 nt
Filed under: Thiotrichales bacterium
Lineage: Bacteria; Pseudomonadati; Pseudomonadota; Gammaproteobacteria; Thiotrichales
Description: RNase P RNA component class A
Rfam family: Bacterial RNase P class A
About the family: Ribonuclease P (RNase P) is a ubiquitous endoribonuclease, found in archaea, bacteria and eukarya as well as chloroplasts and mitochondria. Its best characterised activity is the generation of mature 5'-ends of tRNAs by cleaving the 5'-leader elements of precursor-tRNAs.
Source: RNAcentral
CGAGCCGGCCGGGCAGCCGCGGAGGGCCCCUGGUCCUUCGAGGAAAGUCCGGGCUCCACAGGGCAGGGUGCCAGGUAACGCCUGGGGGGCGCGAGCCCACGGAAAGUGCCACAGAAAACAGACCGCCGAUGGCCGGGUCCGCCCGGCACAGGCAAGGGUGAAAAGGUGCGGCAAGAGCGCACCGCGCGGCUGGUAACAGCCGUGGCAGGGUAAACCCCACCCGGAGCAAGACCAAAUAGGGGGACUGUGCCGUGGCCCGCGGUGUCCCCGGGUAGGUCGCUAGAGGCGUGCGGUGACGCACGUCCCAGAUGAAUGGCUGUCCACGACAGAACCCGGCUUACAGGCCGGCUCACGUU